Microcebus murinus (gray mouse lemur) is the source of this 603-nucleotide non-coding RNA. The record is from RefSeq and is a predicted model, not a curated record. NCBI's taxonomy places the organism in Eukaryota, Metazoa, Chordata, Mammalia, Primates, Cheirogaleidae.
ACUGGCAACAUCAGAAAAGCGGACUACCUUUCCCAGCUAGAAUAGUUCUAUGAAAAUCUUUUGUAUAAUGUACAAAUGACAAAAGAGUAACUAUAAAUAGUUCCAAACACCAUUGAAAAACUGAAAUACAUGUAUUGUUCUUUGGUAAUUUAACGAGUAGUGUGAAGCUGGAAGCACAAUGCUCACUAACCAGGGAUAUCCAUAAUCUGAAGACAUUUGAUCUUCAGCUCAUUGAGGAUAAACGUGGGAAGAAGAAGGGUUGCUGUAGAGCUCAUUCAGUGUAUCCUUGCUUACUCAAGAGACAACGUGGUGACCUUCACACAUACUACCCAGAGGGCCCUAAAUUUCAGAGACACAGAAGUCAAGUCAGAGAACCUGGCAUAGGAACCAGAAGGCAAAUAUCUUUCUACUCCUUUGACCCAACCAGUUUGGGAGGGUGAGUUUUAGAGGAAGGACACUGGAGGGUUGGAUUAUGCAUUGUCCUUACCAAAAUAUCUCAUUUCAACACAGGCAUCCAAGCUCUCAUGGUGGGGGGUUCUGCCACACUGUCCCCCAGUUCCCUCUGUUGUUUCUAUUCACACACUCAGCAUUAGAGUGUGGUAA